GCCCGCGGUUAAAAAGGUUGGGUGGCCAAGCUUUUGUCCGGUAUUUAUUGGGGCGAAAAGCGGGCCGCAGGGGGUUUUUUUAAAAUUUAAUGGGAAAGCCCCCCGGCUCACCCCGGGGAGGGCCAUUGGAAAACGGGGAGAUUUGAGUGCGAAAGAGGAGAGUGGAAUUUCCAGGGGUAGCGGUGAAAUGCGUAGAUAUAUGGAGGACCCCAGGGGCGAAGGCGGUUUUCUGGUCUGAAACUGACGCUGAGGCUGGAAAGGGUGGGGAGCAAACAGGAUAGAAUACCCUGGUAGUCCACGCGGUAAACGAUGAGUGUUAAGUGUUGGAGGGUUUCCGCCUUUCAGUGCUGCAGCUAACGCAUUAAGCACUCCGCGUGGGGAGUACGACGGCAAGGUUGAAAUUAAAAGGAAUUGACGGGGGCCCCCACAAGCGGUGGAGCUUGUGUUUUAAUUGGAAGCAAGGGGAAGACCCUUACCUGUUCUCGUCUUCUUUUGACCAUUGUAGAGAUAGAGUUUCCCCUUCGGGGGAAAAGUGACAGGUGGUGCAUGGUGGUCGUCAGUUGGAAAAAAAAGAUGUUGGGUUAAGUCCCGCAACGAGCCCAACCCUUAUUGUUAGUUGCCAUCAUUCAGUGGGGCAUUCUGGCAAGACUGCCGGUGACAAACCGGAGGAAGGUGGGGAUGACGUCAAAUCAUCAUCCCCUUUAUGACCUGGGCUACACACGUGCUACAAUGGGAAGUACAAGGAGUUGCGAAGUCGGGAGGUUAAGUUAAUUUCUAAAACUUUCUCUCAGUUGGGAUUGCAGGCUGCAACUCGCCUGCAUGAAGCGGGAAUCGCUAGUAAUCGCGGAUCAGCACGCCGCGGUGAAUACUUUCCCGCCCUAAGGCACCCCCCCCGUCACCCCGGGAGAGUUUGUACCUUAAAAGGGGGUGAGGUAACUUUUUGGAGCCAGCAGCCUAAGGUGGGAUAGAUGAUGGGGUAAGUCUAACAAGGUUGGGUUGG
RNAcentral lists this ribosomal RNA (1000 nucleotides) under Enterococcus faecium. RNAcentral describes it as "partial 16S ribosomal RNA". It matches the Rfam family "Bacterial small subunit ribosomal RNA", at positions 513 to 1505 of the family's 1533-position model. The record is from RNAcentral. Lineage: Bacteria; Bacillati; Bacillota; Bacilli; Lactobacillales; Enterococcaceae.